UCGAGAAUCAUUCGCAAUGGGCGAAAGCCUGACGGUGCGACGCCGCGUGGAGGAUGAAGGCCCUCGGGUCGUAAACUCCUGUCAUCAGGGAGUAAGGCAGUAGUCGUUAAUAGCGGCCACUGUUGCUAGUACCUGAAGAGGAAGAGACGGCUAACUCUGUGCCAGCAGCCGCGGUAAUACAGAGGUCUCAAGCGUUGUUCGGAUUUACUGGGCGUAAAGCGUGCGUAGGCGGCGAGGUAAGUCAGAUGUGAAAGCUCGGGGCUCAACCCCGAAAUUGCAUCCGAUACUGCCUUGCUAGAGUAAUGGAGGGGAGUCUGGAAUUCACGGUGUAGCAGUGAAAUGCGUAGAUAUCGUGAGGAACACUAGUGGCGAAGGCGAGACUCUGGACAUUUACUGACGCUCAGGCACGAAGGCUAGGGUAGCGAAGCGGAUUAGAUACCCCCGUAGUCC
RNAcentral lists this ribosomal RNA (450 nucleotides) under uncultured prokaryote. Its description in RNAcentral is "bacterial SSU rRNA". It matches the Rfam family "Bacterial small subunit ribosomal RNA", at positions 355 to 796 of the family's 1533-position model. The record is from RNAcentral.